RNAcentral lists this long non-coding RNA (692 nucleotides) under Gouania willdenowi (blunt-snouted clingfish). RNAcentral describes it as "lncRNA (ENSGWIG00000003857.1)". Lineage: Eukaryota; Metazoa; Chordata; Actinopteri; Blenniiformes; Gobiesocidae. The record is from RNAcentral.
AUGAUGAAGAUGCCAGCCAGACAUGCAAACAUAGAGCAGAGACACACAAUAAGUCUACAGGAAAGUGAUGAAGAUGCCAGAAAAACAAAUGAGCUGAGAGCAGAAACUUCAACAAUAAGCCAUGAUAGUGAUGAAGACAGCCAAACAGAAGAGCAGAAACUUUUAAUGAAGCACAGAGCUCUCAGAGCAAUGAUGACGCUGGCAGCCAAACAGAAGUGCAAAGAGCAGACCUAUAAACAUUGGAACAGAAAGAACUUCAGCAUAUUGCCCACCUGUGGAACACCCACAUUAUUCAGAGAAGCAGAAAUGCAGUUGCACCUAGUGGCCGGCCUCACAUGAUGUACAUGCUUCCUCAGCUUUUUGGGGAAAGGACUAUCUCAAACAUGCAUCUGUGCAAGCAGUACAAACAUGCAGAGCACAAUGCAUACAACGAGGACCUUACCCAUGUGAUGAGACUGCCAUCCACUGGAAGGUUAAUGUGAACACAGACAACUUCCUUCAUCUCCCAUCCACAAUUGAACUGUAUCUAUUUUUAAGAACUUGCAUACGUAAAGAUUUGUGAAAUAAGCUAUCCUGGCUAGUAAAGCACCACCUGCAUUAAUAUUUUUCUAUUCAUAUUGUGUGAAGGUGUGAUAGCAGUGUUACAGAUUUUUCCAUUUAAAGGUAAUAAAAUAAACAAAUAGUUUAUAACA